RNAcentral lists this ribosomal RNA (409 nucleotides) under uncultured Pseudomonadota bacterium. RNAcentral describes it as "bacterial SSU rRNA". It matches the Rfam family "Bacterial small subunit ribosomal RNA", at positions 39 to 494 of the family's 1533-position model. The record is from RNAcentral. Lineage: Bacteria; Pseudomonadati; Pseudomonadota.
GCGGCACGCCUAAACAUGCAAGUCGAACGAAGUAGUAAUACUUAGUGGCAGACGGGUGAGUAACAUGUGGGUAUCUACCCUUUGGCCUGGAAUAACACGAGGAAACUUGUGCUAAUACCGGAUAAGUCUUUACGGAGAAAGCUUUAUGCACCAUUGGAUGAGCCUGCACUUGAUUAGUUUGUUGGUAGGGUAAUGGCCUACCAAGACUAUGAUCAAUAGCUGAUUUGAGAGGAUGAUCAGCCACAUUGGGACUGAGACACGGCCCAAACUCCUACGGGAGGCAGCAGUGGGGAAUCUUGCACAAUGGAGGAAACUCUGAUGCAGCGAUGCCGCGUGAGUGAAGAAGGCCCUUGGGUUGUAAAGCUCUUUCGUCGGGGAAGAAAAUGACUGUACCCGAAUAAGAAGGUCC